RNAcentral lists this ribosomal RNA (440 nucleotides) under uncultured bacterium. RNAcentral's name for it is "partial 16S ribosomal RNA". It matches the Rfam family "Bacterial small subunit ribosomal RNA", at positions 338 to 795 of the family's 1533-position model. The record is from RNAcentral.
CCUACGGGAGGCAGCAGUGGGGAAUAUUGCACAAUGGGGGAAACCCUGAUGCAGCGACGCCGCGUGAGUGAAGAAGUAUCUCGGUACGUAAAGCUCUAUCAGCAGGGAAGAAAAUGACGGUAACUGACUAAGAAGCCCCGGCUAACUACGUGCCAGCAGCCGCGGUAACACGUAGGGGGCAAGCGUUAUCCGGCUUUACUGGGUGUAAAGGGAGCGUAGACGGCAGCACAAGUCUGGAGUGAAAUCCCGGGGCUUAACCCUGGAACUGCAUUGGAAACUGUGCGGCUGGAGUGCAGGAGGGGGAAGCGGAAUUCCUAGUGUAGCGGUGAAAUGCGUAGAGAUUAGGAGGAACACCGGUGGCGAAGGCGGCUUACUGGACUGUAACUGACGUUGAGGCUCGAAAGCGUGGGGAGCAAACAGGAUUAGAUACCCGAGUAGUC